Molecule: long non-coding RNA, 927 nt
Filed under: Rattus norvegicus (Norway rat)
Lineage: Eukaryota; Metazoa; Chordata; Mammalia; Rodentia; Muridae
Description: long non-coding RNA NONRATT009593
Source: RNAcentral
AACAAUUCAUUGAAAUAGAUUAAAGUCUAGUAGGGGGAGAUAUAUGUGGAUACCUUUAACCAGCUACAACCUGUGGUCCCCGCCCGACUUGACUGCAGAAUUUGAAAAGGACAGAUUACAAAUGAACAAAAGAGGUUUGGUACUCCAUACCGGUAUUGCCAGCACUUGGAAGAUGGAGGCAGGAGAAUCAGGAAUUCAAGGCUAGCAUGAGCCAUACUGCAAGCCUAGGGUGGCCAGCCUAAGCUAUAUGAGAUCCUGUUUAAAACAACAUGGAAAACGAAUGUUAUCGAUAUCUGUAUGAAUCUGCGGUAGGACCCAACCAUCUUCUUAUACGUUUUCUUCUCAUUUUUCCCUGCUUGGGGCUGGAGAGAUGACUUGGCAGGUUAGAGCACCGGCCGCUGACCUUGUCCUGCUUGGCUGAGACUUGACCCGACUAAGGACAUGGAAGGAACGAAGAGAAAACAAGCAAGCGACAGAAGGGCUGGGAUCAGGUGGGCUGUGCACACUGUGAUGGAGCUGCGAUGGCUGUAAAUACCAGGCUGAAGUAUCAUCAACCCUUUAUAAGCAAUUAUACUUGUACACACAGACAUACAUGCAUACAUACAUCUGUGCAUACAUACAUCUGUGCAUACAUACAUACGUGCACAGACCAUAGCAAUACACACAAUCAGUAAGUAAAUUUAAUUUUUCUUUAUCUUUGAGAAUUUCAUACAUGUCUACAAUGAAAUAUGAUUAUAUAUACUCCUCAUUUCCUCUAACUUCCUUCGUGUACCCCCUAACACGUCCCACAAAGAACCUCACGUCUCUUUUUAAAACAAUCAUUAAAUCCAGUUGUGCUGCCCAUAUAUACAUGGUGUAAGAGGAGCUACUGGAACAUGGGAAUCACUGGCCACACCCCCUACAAAGAAUAAAUCUUUCCCCAAAACU